Molecule: long non-coding RNA, 596 nt
Organism: Orbicella faveolata
Lineage: Eukaryota; Metazoa; Cnidaria; Anthozoa; Scleractinia; Merulinidae
Source: RefSeq, a predicted model, not a curated record
GUAGUUGAAAAGAGACAGAGACGCGAGCUUCAAGACGUGGCGUGAGGAGCGAGAACCUGACGAAUAAGGGAAAUUAUAACGUGUUUUUAGUCUACGGAAUACGAGAUCAAAACGUGUUUGACCUGAACAGAUACCAUCAUGUAAUUACUAUUUGUUAUUGCUUUAAGAAAACGGCAGGCCAAAUAAAAAAUAAAAUGAAAUCAAAGAAAAAUUAGCAAUGAAAAUGGAAAAGGCAAUGCAGAGAUAACCUGGAACCUGGAAACGAAACAAGAAAAUGCAUCAGAGGUGACCUGGGUACUAGAGUGUCACUUGGCUGACACGUUGCGCCAAAACAUAUACUCAAACUCGUAGCAAAAAUGUGGCGUUUACAUCCAAAGAUAUUUCAUUUUGUCUCUCUGUUUAUCUCUGUUAGAUGUUUUAAUCCUUUCGAUGAUGGUCAGUAUGAUAUCGAUUGGGGAGGACCCGUAACAUUACGCGAAGGCCAGGUAACGCCGAGUGGAGAAGAUUACUUGAGCAGUAGAGAGGCGUUAGUAAUGAUCACAAAAGAUAAUGAAAAAUACAAGUGUAUAUUACCCCAAGAUGAACUACCUAAACAG